RNAcentral lists this ribosomal RNA (749 nucleotides) under Salmonella enterica. RNAcentral describes it as "bacterial LSU rRNA". It matches the Rfam family "Bacterial large subunit ribosomal RNA", at positions 1 to 783 of the family's 2925-position model. Lineage: Bacteria; Pseudomonadati; Pseudomonadota; Gammaproteobacteria; Enterobacterales; Enterobacteriaceae. The record is from RNAcentral.
GGGUUGUGAGGUUAAGCGACUAAGCGUACACGGUGGAUGCCCUGGCAGUCAGAGGCGAUGAAGGACGUGCUAAUCUGCGAUAAGCGCCGGUAAGGUGAUAUGAACCGUUAUAACCGGCGAUUUCCGAAUGGGGAAACCCAGUGUGAUUCGUCACACUAUCAUUAACUGAAUCCAUAGGUUAAUGAGGCGAACCGGGGGAACUGAAACAUCUAAGUACCCCGAGGAAAAGAAAUCAACCGAGAUUCCCCCAGUAGCGGCGAGCGAACGGGGAGGAGCCCAGAGCCUGAAUCAGCAUGUGUGUUAGUGGAAGCGUCUGGAAAGGCGCGCGAUACAGGGUGACAGCCCCGUACACAAAAGCGCAUGUGCUGUGAGCUCGAUGAGUAGGGCGGGACACGUGGUAUCCUGUCUGAAUAUGGGGGGACCAUCCUCCAAGGCUAAAUACUCCUGACUGACCGAUAGUGAACCAGUACCGUGAGGGAAAGGCGAAAAGAACCCCGGCGAGGGGAGUGAAAAAGAACCUGAAACCGUGUACGUACAAGCAGUGGGAGCACCCUUUGGGGUGUGACUGCGUACCUUUUGUAUAAUGGGUCAGCGACUUAUAUUCUGUAGCAAGGUUAACCGUAUAGGGGAGCCGGAGGGAAACCGAGUCUUAAUUGGGCGUUAAGUUGCAGGGUAUAGACCCGAAACCCGGUGAUCUAGCCAUGGGCAGGUUGAAGGUUGGGUAACACUAACUGGAGGACCGAACCGAC